This 428-nucleotide ribosomal RNA is filed under the name uncultured Clostridia bacterium. RNAcentral's name for it is "bacterial SSU rRNA". It matches the Rfam family "Bacterial small subunit ribosomal RNA", at positions 9 to 419 of the family's 1533-position model. Lineage: Bacteria; Bacillati; Bacillota; Clostridia. The record is from RNAcentral.
GAGUUUGAUCGUGGCUCAGAACGAACGCUGGCGGCGUGCCUAACACAUGCAAGUCGAGCGGGAAAGUUCCCUUCGGGGAGCGAGUACAGCGGCGAACGGGUGAGUAACACGUAGGUAACCUACCCUGGAGACUGGGAUAACCUGCCGAAAGGCGGGCUAAUACCAGAUAAGACCACGAGGGCUGCGGCCCUUGGGGAAAAAGAUGGCCUAUGCUUGCAAGCUAUCACUCCGGGAUGGGCCUGCGCGCCAUUAGCUAGUUGGUGAGGUAACGGCUCACCAAGGCUGAGAUGGCUAGCUGGUCUGAGAGGAUGGCCAGCCACACUGGGACUGAGACACGGCCCAGACUCCUACGGGAGGCAGCAGUGGGGAAUAUUGCGCAAUGGGCGAAAGCCUGACGCAGCGACGCCGCGUGGGUGAUGAAGGCCUUC